UACGGAGGAUCCAAGCGUUAUCCGGAUUUAUUGGGUUUAAAGGGAGCGUAGGCGGCCUAUUAAGUCAGGGGUGAAAGACGGCAGCUUAACUGUCGCAGUGCCUUUGAUACUGAUAGGCUUGAAUGUAGUUGAGGUGGGCGGAAUGUGACAAGUAGCGGUGAAAUGCAUAGAUAUGUCACAGAACACCGAUUGCGAAGGCAGCUCACUAAGCUAUGAUUGACGCUGAGGCUCGAAAGCGUGGGGAUCAAACAGG
Molecule: ribosomal RNA, 253 nt
Filed under: uncultured bacterium
Lineage: Bacteria
Description: partial 16S ribosomal RNA
Rfam family: Bacterial small subunit ribosomal RNA
Source: RNAcentral